AACGCGCAGAACCUUACCAGCCCUUGACAUGUCCAGGACCGGUCGCAGAGACGUGACCUUCUCUUCGGAGCCUGGAGCACAGGUGCUGCAUGGCUGUCGUCAGCUCGUGUCGUGAGAUGUUGGGUUAAGUCCCGCAACGAGCGCAACCCCCGUCCUUAGUUGCUACCAUUUAGUUGAGCACUCUAAGGAGACUGCCGGUGAUAAGCCGCGAGGAAGGUGGGGAUGACGUCAAGUCCUCAUGGCCCUUACGGGCUGGGCUACACACGUGCUACAAUGGCGGUGACAAUGGGAAGCUAAGGGGCGACCCUUCGCAAAUCUCAAAAAGCCGUCUCAGUUCGGAUUGGGCUCUGCAACUCGAGCCCAUGAAGUUGGAAUCGCUAGUAAUCGUGGAUCAGCAUGCCACGGUGAAUACGUUCCCGGGCCUUGUACACACCG
Molecule: ribosomal RNA, 435 nt
Filed under: uncultured Rhodopseudomonas sp.
Lineage: Bacteria; Pseudomonadati; Pseudomonadota; Alphaproteobacteria; Hyphomicrobiales; Nitrobacteraceae
Description: bacterial SSU rRNA
Rfam family: Bacterial small subunit ribosomal RNA
Source: RNAcentral